RNAcentral lists this ribosomal RNA (115 nucleotides) under uncultured bacterium. RNAcentral's name for it is "partial 16S ribosomal RNA". The record is from RNAcentral.
CCAGUAUUAAUGACUAACUUUUCCUCCUCACUGAAAGUGCUUUACAACCCGAAAGCCUUCUUCACACACGCGGCAUGGCUGGAUCAGGGUUGCCCCCAUUGUCCAAUAUUCCCCA